RNAcentral lists this ribosomal RNA (1251 nucleotides) under metagenome. RNAcentral's name for it is "bacterial LSU rRNA". It matches the Rfam family "Bacterial large subunit ribosomal RNA", at positions 1635 to 2875 of the family's 2925-position model. The record is from RNAcentral.
GACACGACCGUACCGCAAACCGACACUGGUGCGCGAGAUGAGUAUUCUAAGGCGCUUGAGAGAACUCAGGAGAAGGAACUCGGCAAAUUGACACCGUAACUUCGGAAGAAGGUGUGCCUUUAGUAGGUGAACCAUUUACUUGGGGUGCCCAAUGAGGCUGCAAAAAAUCGGUGGCUGCAACUGUUUAUUAAAAACACAGCACUCUGCUAAGACGAAAGUCGACGUAUAGGGUGUGACGCCUGCCCGGUGCUGGAAGAUUAAAUGAUGGGGUGCAAGCUCUUGAUUGAAGUCCCAGUAAACGGCGGCCGUAACGAUAACGGUCCUAAGGUAGUGAAAUUCCUUGUCGGGUAAGUUCCGACCUGCGCGAAUGGCGUAAUGAUGGCCACACUGUCUCCUCCUGAGACUCAGCGAAGUUGAAAUGUUUGUGAUGAUGCAAUCUCCCCGCGGAAAGACGGAAAGACCCCAUGAACCUUUACUGUAGCUUUGUAUUGGACUUUGAACAGAUCUGUGUAGGAUAGGUGGGAGGCUUUGAAGUGUGGUCGCUAGAUCGCAUGGAGCCAACGUUGAAAUACCACCCUGGUGUGUUUGAGGUUCUAACCUAGGUCCAUUAUCUGGAUCGGGGACAGUGCAUGGUAGGCAGUUUGACUGGGGCGGUCUCCUCCCAAAGUGUAACGGAGGAGUUCGAAGGUACGCUAGGUACGGUCGGACAUCGUGCUAAUAGUGCAAUGGCAUAAGCGUGCUUAACUGCGAGACUGACAAGUCGAGCAGAUGCGAAAGCAGGACAUAGUGAUCCGGUGGUUCUGUAUGGAAGGGCCAUCGCUCAACGGAUAAAAGGUACUCUGGGGAUAACAGGCUGAUACCGCCCAAGAGUUCAUAUCGACGGCGGUGUUUGGCACCUCGAUGUCGGCUCAUCUCAUCCUGGGGCUGUAGCCGGUCCCAAGGGUAUGGCUGUUCGCCAUUUAAAGAGGUACGUGAGCUGGGUUUAAAACGUCGUGAGACAGUUUGGUCCCUAUCUUCCGUGGGCGCUGCAGAUUUGAGGAAGCCUGCUCCUAGUACGAGAGGACCGGAGUGGACGAACCUCUGGUGUAUCGGUUGUCACGCCAGUGGCAUUGCCGAGUAGCUAAGUUCGGAAGAGAUAACCGCUGAAAGCAUCUAAGCGGGAAACUCGUUUCAAGAUUAGAUCUGCCGGGGCCUUGAGCCCCCUAAAGAGUCGUUCAAGACCAGGACGUUGAUAGGUCAGGUGUGGAAGCG